RNAcentral lists this ribosomal RNA (1399 nucleotides) under uncultured bacterium. RNAcentral describes it as "16S ribosomal RNA". It matches the Rfam family "Bacterial small subunit ribosomal RNA". The record is from RNAcentral.
UAGAGUUUGAUCCUGGCUCAGGAUGAACGCUAGCGACAGGCUUAACACAUGCAAGUCGAGGGGCAGCGGGGUAGUGCUUGCACUACUGCCGGCGACCGGCGCACGGGUGAGUAACACGUAUGGAACCUGCCCGCAGCAGGGGGAUAAGCGGAAGAAAUUCCGUCUAAUACCGCGUAACAACGUUGGGAGGCAUCUCCCGAUGUUUAAAGAUUUAUCGGCUGCGGAUGGCCAUGCGGCGCAUUAGCUAGUCGGCGGGGUAACGGCCCACCGAGGCGACGAUGCGUAGGGGUUCUGAGAGGAAGGUCCCCCACACUGGUACUGAGACACGGACCAGACUCCUACGGGAGGCAGCAGUAAGGAAUAUUGGUCAAUGGACGCAAGUCUGAACCAGCCAAGUAGCGUGCAGGAUGACGGCCCUCCGGGUUGUAAACUGCUUUUAGUUGGGAAUAAAAGGGGGCUCGUGAGCCCCGUAUUGUAUGUACCAUCAGAAAAAGGACCGGCUAAUUCCGUGCCAGCAGCCGCGGUAAUACGGAAGGUCCGGGCGUUAUCCGGAUUUAUUGGGUUUAAAGGGAGCGUAGGCCGGCUUUUAAGUCAGCUGUGAAAGUCCGCGGCUCAACCGUGGAAUUGCAGUUGAAACUGGAGGCCUUGAGUGCACACAGGGAUGCCGGAAUUCAUGGUGUAGCGGUGAAAUGCUUAGAUAUCAUGAAGAACUCCGAUCGCGAAGGCAAGUGUCCGGGGUGCAACUGACGCUGAGGCUCGAAAGUGCGGGUAUCAAACAGGAUUAGAUACCCUGGUAGUCCGCACCGUAAACGAUGAAUACUCGUGUCCCGCGAUAUAUUGUGGGACACUUAGCGAAAGCGUUAAGUAUUCCACCUGGGGAGUACGCCGGCAACGGUGAAACUCAAAGGAAUUGACGGGGGCCCGCACAAGCGGAGGAACAUGUGGUUUAAUUCGAUGAUACGCGAGGAACCUUACCCGGGCUUGAAUUGCAGAGGAAAGAUCCAGAGAUGGUGAUGCCCUUCGGGGCCUCUGUGAAGGUGCUGCAUGGUUGUCGUCAGCUCGUGCCGUGAGGUGUCGGCUUAAGUGCCAUAACGAGCGCAACCCCUUUCCCUAGUUGCCAUCGGUUCUAGCCGGGCACUCUGGGGACACUGCCUCCGCAAGGAGUGAGGAAGGUGGGGAUGACGUCAAAUCAGCACGGCCCUUACGUCCGGGGCUACACACGUGUUACAAUGGGUGAUACAGAGGGCCGGCCGCUGGCAACAUCGGUCCAAUCCUUAAAGUCAUCCUCAGUUCGGACUGGGGUCUGCAACCCGACCCCACGAAGCUGGAUUCGCUAGUAAUCGCGCAUCAGCCAUGGCGCGGUGAAUACGAUCCCGGGCCUUGCACACACCGCCCGUCA